ACUCCUACGGGAGGCAGCAGUGGGGAAUCUUGCGCAAUGGGCGAAAGCCUGACGCAGCAACGCCGCGUGAGUGAAGAAGGCCUUCGGGUCGUAAAGCUCUGUCGAGAGGGAAGAAUGCCCGGAUUUAUCCGGGAGAGACGGUACCUUUCAAGAAAGCACCGGCUAACUCCGUGCCAGCAGCCGCGGUAAUACGGAGGGUGCAAGCGUUGUUCGGAAUCAUUGGGCGUAAAGGGCGCGCAGGCGGCCUAGAAAGUCCGGCGUGAAAUCCCAGGGCUCAACCCUGGAACUGCGUUGGAAACUAUUAGGCUUGAGUAUGGGAGAGGUCCGUGGAAUUCCAGGUGUAGGGGUGAAAUCCGUAGAGAUCUGGAGGAACACCGGCGGCGAAAGCGACGGACUGGACCAAUACUGACGCUGAGGCGCGAAAGCGUGGGGAGCAAACAGGAUUAGAUACCCCGGUAGUCC
This 462-nucleotide ribosomal RNA is filed under the name uncultured bacterium. Its description in RNAcentral is "bacterial SSU rRNA". It matches the Rfam family "Bacterial small subunit ribosomal RNA", at positions 335 to 796 of the family's 1533-position model. The record is from RNAcentral.